GGAUGUACCUCUUAGCAUCCAACUCACUUCUGCCUAAGGGCAUCCAAUUCAGGAUUCACAUCAGCCCUCAACAAAAAUCCCUCCUUACCCAACCCAACACCUAAGUCAAAGCAACUUGUGUACUGACACUGAGGUUAACUGUAUGCACAUCCAGACUUAACUCACCACCUUUACAUGACCAAAUCACCAAUUCAGGCCUCUUGUGAGCUCUAGACUCCCAGGUACAAGUGCCUGCUGGAAUAUUACACCUUGAUGGUCACUAAGUAAGUUGAAAAUACAUUCAUCAACCUCCUUCCUUACCAGUCUUGCCCUCUGUCCCCUGCAUUCCAUAUUUCAGUAAAAGAUAUCAUACUACCCAAGUCCGAAACCUAGGAGUCACUAGUGUGACCAUCCUAAGCACUGCCCACCAACUACUUCCAAAGCUCUUUCUAGGUACACAAUAAAAUUCCAUUUUUCUGUUCCUUUAAGUUAGGUGUGGCCAUGUAACCUGCUUUGGUCAGUUAAAUAUGAGCAGAACUGACAUGUGUCACUAUUCUGAAGAAGCUCUGAGAACCACUGUUUGACUCUUUUCCUCCACCACAACGACUGGCAACAUUCAAAAGAUGGCUGGGACUCAUCAACUUCAUCCCAGAGUGAAUAACCACAAUGAGUAAAGUUCCCACCCCCACGAAUUUAGUCUAAAAAAUAUUUUGUCAGCCAGGCAGGGUGGCUCAUGCCUGUAAUCCUAGCACUAUGGGAGGCAGAGGCAGGCAGAUCACCUGAUGUCAGGAGUUUGAGACCAGUCUAGCCAACAUGAUGAAACCCCAUCUCUACUAAAAAUACAAAAAUUAGCUGGGUGUGGUGCCACACACCUGUAAUCCCAGCUACUUGGGAGGCUGAGGCACAAGAAUUGCUUGAACCCGGGAGGCAGAGUUUGCAGUGAGCCGAGAUCACACCACUGCACUCCAGCCUGGGCAAGAGAGUGAGACUGUGUCUCAAAAAAGAAAAAAAAAAUUGUCAAACUACAAAGAUCUGAAGUUAUUUCCAAAACUCUACUUAUUCUAACUGAUAAAUUAUCCUUGACCUUUCUGUCCUCAUCCAAUUGGUCAAUAUAUCCUGCUUAGAGUACCUUGUAAAUAUUUGUCACAUUAGUUUUUUCAUCAUUCUCAUUACCAAUGCCUUAAUUCAGACCCUCAUCAUUUCUCAUGUGGAUUACUUAACAGCUUUUAAGAAAUCACACAGCACCCAACCUCAAAUCCUUAUUAAUGGUCUUCCACCAAAGCUCCCACAGUGAUCUUUCUAAACACUAAAUUUCAUUGUGUCACUCCACAUAUCAAAUUUCCUUAAAGGUACUAUUCUGUUCUUGCCUCGUCAUGGAAAUGCACCCAAAAAUGAUACCUGUGGUUCCAGCAACACAUCACAAACAUAUGGGUCUUCAUAUAUGCUGUUCCAUUUGGUUACGAUGUCCUCGCUAACUCCCAUUUUGAAUGCUAAUUCCACUCUUCUUCAAGGCUCAAAUUUCCAAGUCUUCUGGUAAACCAUCUUAAGAUACCGCAAUCAUUAGGUACAGCCUCCUACAUGUGCUACCAAGACAUUCUAUAUUGCUUUGGCACAGGCCUUAGCACGGUUUCCUCAUGUGAAACCCUCAAAAGAUCCUAUAAGCUUCUCUAGCCAUAAAUGAUUAGUCACCAGUCUCAAGGGCCCAUUUCCCUGGCUGACCAGCAACCUCUAAUUUUGGAAGUCAGGCUCGACCAAAUGAGCUAGAUCAAUCAAUCAGGUUCUCUCUAUUGGGCUGGAAGGUGACUUACAGCAAGCUGUAAGCCAGAUGAUGAGUACAUAAUAGGUAUGCAAAGAAAUGGAGUAGAUAGAAACAAACUGAACUGAUAAUAACCACUGCAGAGAAAGAAGCAGAUAGUCAUCUUGAUUGCUGAUACCCUUCUGGUUCCCAGUACUAGUUCCCAUGAGGCCUGGCUGUACUACAAUCUUUAUUUUUCAACGCAGUGAAAUCUUUCUUUUUAAUAAUAAUGUCUCUUCUCGAUGUACCUUGGGUAACACUGUUUCUGUCCUUUUUAACCAAAAACAAUCUGUGAUUAUAAUAACCUACUAAAGCCCUAGCAAUUCCAACAGGAAUAACUCUUUUGCCUCUGAAAUCUUCAAGAGCCUGACAGUCAUCUCUGAAGCAACAUUUCCUAAACUGACGGAUCCUUUUGUGAAGGAAUGUAAAUGUUAAGUAAGCACUACUGAAAACUAAAACCACAUUUCCAAAUACCCCUAGUUGAAAUCUACUUCAUUUCAAACUUAAAACAUCCACAGGAAUAGGAAUUCUGAGUCUGGUUUGUAAUGCAACUACAUCUGAAGACAUGCCACCAACAUUUCAGAAGCCUGGGAACUGGUUAAAAAAAUGUUGGUCUGUUCUGAACAGCAUCAUCAUGGAAGUAUGGAUAUUAGGUACGGCUACUCCACUGAUUUAAGCAAUUUUCUUUUCUUUUCUUUUCCUUUUUUUUUUGAGACAGAGUUUCACACUGUCACCCGAGCUGGAGUGCAAUGGCGGGAUCCCGGCUCACUGCAACCUCCGCCUCCCGGGUUCAUGCGAUUCUCCUGCCGCCUCCCAAGUAGCUGGGAUAACAGGUGCACACCACCACACCCAGCUAAUUUUUUGUAUUUUUAGUAGAAACAAGAUUUCACUAUGUUGGCCAGACAGGUCUCGAACUCCUGACCUCGUGAUCCGCCUGCCUCGGCUUCCCAAAGCGCUGGGAUUACAGGCGUGGGCCACUGCACCCGGCCAAUUUUCUUAAUCUUCAUUUCCAAUUACCUUCCUUAAAAUAAAGACCAACUUACAUUUACUUUAUAAAAAUGCAAAUAUUUGAAAAUUUCAGGCAAGGUAACACUAUUUUAUUUUGACCAUUAUAAACUAAAAUUAUUAGAGUAGCAAGCCAACAAACAGAUAGCUCAUCAAACAAAUGUGUACUUGCUUGUGCCCAAGAGUUCAAGACCAGCCUGGGCAACAGAAGAAGACCUUGGGGGAAAAAAAAACACAUAAAAAGGGAUGACAUAUUCCAUUUGGUCUAAAUGUAUGCAUCUAUAGAAACUAGCAGGCCAGGCACAGUGGCUCACAUCUGUCACCCCAGCACUUUAGGAUGCCAAAGCAGGCG
RNAcentral lists this long non-coding RNA (3131 nucleotides) under Homo sapiens (human). RNAcentral describes it as "HSALNT0088808". The record is from RNAcentral. Lineage: Eukaryota; Metazoa; Chordata; Mammalia; Primates; Hominidae.